RNAcentral lists this ribosomal RNA (441 nucleotides) under Nomamyrmex esenbecki. Its description in RNAcentral is "partial 28S ribosomal RNA". Lineage: Eukaryota; Metazoa; Arthropoda; Insecta; Hymenoptera; Formicidae. The record is from RNAcentral.
GUACGUGAAACGGCUUAGAGGUAAACGAAUGGAGCUGCGAAGUAGGUGGUGUAUGUUUCAGUGUUUUGAUCUGUGUUGGUUGUGUAGUAGGGACUGUAACAGGUGCUGCUAUAGGAUCACACAUAGACAAAACAUGCACUACGUAUACCACCACCAUGUAGUGAGUGGUUAAAGGGAGAUGUUGCAAUGAAUACAGUUCAUUGGAGUAUGGAAGUGAUACUUCGGUAGAUCAUCCAGACAAUGACUGAAACAACGUCUCGUAUUGACCAUGGUGUGAAUCCCCUACAAAGGGUAAGUGGUGGUGAAGUUGUGUGGAACAUGACAAUGAGUAGGGAUAUGAAGUCGGUAGUCUAACUAUUGACCAACUUCCUACACAUAACAUAAACCANACUCCAACACCCCCACAUCACUACAGUAGUGGUCUCUAUUCGACCCGUCUUG